AAUGGAUUACUUCUGAUUGCUGCUUUGAGAGUAGAUUGUAGGGAAAAUCAGAAAUAAUCCAUUUA
This is a microRNA precursor of Bison bison bison, 65 nucleotides long. The record is from Ensembl. NCBI's taxonomy places the organism in Eukaryota, Metazoa, Chordata, Mammalia, Artiodactyla, Bovidae.